GAGUCUGUAAGAUUAAAUGAAGAACUGCUAAUUCCUCAUAUUGUGGUUUAACUCCAUAACAUUCUCA
Molecule: transfer RNA, 67 nt
Filed under: Xenorhina sp. TNHC-GDC 31177
Lineage: Eukaryota; Metazoa; Chordata; Amphibia; Anura; Microhylidae
Description: tRNA-Ser
Source: RNAcentral